RNAcentral lists this ribosomal RNA (460 nucleotides) under uncultured bacterium. RNAcentral describes it as "partial 16S ribosomal RNA". It matches the Rfam family "Bacterial small subunit ribosomal RNA", at positions 338 to 795 of the family's 1533-position model. The record is from RNAcentral.
CCUACGGGUGGCAGCAGUGAGGAAUAUUGGUCAAUGGACGAGAGUCUGAACCAGCCAAGUAGCGUGAAGGAUGACUGCCCUAUGGGUUGUAAACUUCUUUUAUAUGGGAAUAAAAUGUUCCACGUGUGGGAUUUUGUAUGUACUUUAUGAAUAAGGAUCGGCUAACUCCGUGCCAGCAGCCGCGGUAAUACGGAGGAUCCGAGCGUUAUCCGGAUUUAUUGGGUUUAAAGGGAGCGUAGGUGGGUUGUUAAGUCAGUUGUGAAAGUUUGCGGCUCAACCGUAAAAUUGCAGUUGAUACUGGCAGUCUUGAGUACAGUAGAGGUAGGAGGAAUUCGUGGUGUAGCGGUGAAAUGCUUAGAUAUCACGAAGAACUCCGAUUGCGAAGGCAGUUCACUAGACUGCAACUGACACUGAGGCUCGAAAGUGUGGGUAUCAAACAGGAUUAGAUACCCGAGUAGUC